GAGUUUGAUCCUGGCUCAGGACGAACGCUGGCGGCGUGCUUAACACAUGCAAGUCACGGGGGCCCGCAAGGGCAACCGGCGAACGGGUGCGUAACACGUGAACAACCUGCCCUCGUGUGGGGGAUAGCCGGGCUAACGCCCGGGUAAUACCGCAUACGUUCUCUUUGGGGAGUCCUGAGGAGAGGAAAGCUCCGGCGCACGGGGAGGGGUUCGCGGCCUAUCAGCUAGUUGGCGGGGUAAUGGCCCACCAAGGCGACGACGGGUAGCUGGUCUGAGAGGAUGGCCAGCCACAUUGGGACUGAGAGACGGCCCAGACUCCUACGGGAGGCAGCAGUGGGGAAUCUUGCGCAAUGGUCGAAAGGCUGACGCAGCGACGCCGCGUGUGGGAGGACGCCUUUCGGGUGUAAACCACUGUUGCCCGGGACGAACGGCUCGAUUCGUCGAGCGUGACGGUACCGGGUGAGGAAGCACCGGCUAACUCCGUGCCAGCCGCCGCCGUAAC
RNAcentral lists this ribosomal RNA (502 nucleotides) under uncultured Gemmatimonadota bacterium. Its description in RNAcentral is "bacterial SSU rRNA". It matches the Rfam family "Bacterial small subunit ribosomal RNA", at positions 9 to 524 of the family's 1533-position model. RNAcentral also lists the same sequence under 1 other name. Lineage: Bacteria; Pseudomonadati; Gemmatimonadota. The record is from RNAcentral.